RNAcentral lists this ribosomal RNA (1343 nucleotides) under uncultured bacterium. Its description in RNAcentral is "16S ribosomal RNA". It matches the Rfam family "Bacterial small subunit ribosomal RNA", at positions 28 to 1378 of the family's 1533-position model. The record is from RNAcentral.
GACGAACGCUGGCGGCGUGCUUAACACAUGCAAGUCGAACGGAAAGGCCCUGCUUUUGUGGGGUGCUCGAGUGGCGAACGGGUGAGUAACACGUGAGUAACCUGCCCUUGACUUUGGGAUAACUUCAGGAAACUGGGGCUAAUACCGGAUAGGAGCUCCUGCUGCAUGGUGGGGGUUGGAAAGUUUCGGCGGUUGGGGAUGGACUCGCGGCUUAUCAGCUUGUUGGUGGGGUAGUGGCUUACCAAGGCUUUGACGGGUAGCCGGCCUGAGAGGGUGACCGGCCACAUUGGGACUGAGAUACGGCCCAGACUCCUACGGGAGGCAGCAGUGGGGAAUAUUGCACAAUGGGCGGAAGCCUGAUGCAGCAACGCCGCGUGCGGGAUGACGGCCUUCGGGUUGUAAACCGCUUUCGCCUGUGACGAAGCGUGAGUGACGGUAAUGGGUAAAGAAGCACCGGCUAACUACGUGCCAGCAGCCGCGGUGAUACGUAGGGUGCGAGCGUUGUCCGGAUUUAUUGGGCGUAAAGGGCUCGUAGGUGGUUGAUCGCGUCGGAAGUGUAAUCUUGGGGCUUAACCCUGAGCGUGCUUUCGAUACGGGUUGACUUGAGGAAGGUAGGGGAGAAUGGAAUUCCUGGCGGAGCGGUGGAAUGCGCAGAUAUCAGGAGGAACACCAGUGGCGAAGGCGGUUCUCUGGGCCUUUCCUGACGCUGAGGAGCGAAAGCGUGGGGAGCGAACAGGCUUAGAUACCCUGGUAGUCCACGCUGUAAACGGUGGGUACUAGGUGUGGGGUCCAUUCCACGGGUUCCGUGCCGUAGCUAACGCUUUAAGUACCCCGCCUGGGGAGUACGGCCGCAAGGCUAAAACUCAAAGGAAUUGACGGGGCCCCGCACAAGCGGCGGAGCAUGCGGAUUAAUUCGAUGCAACGCGUAGAACCUUACCUGGGUUUGACAUGGAUCGGGAGUGCUCAGAGAUGGGUGUGCCUCUUUUGGGGUCGGUUCACAGGUGGUGCAUGGCUGUCGUCAGCUCGUGUCGUGAGAUGUUGGGUUAAGUCCCGCAACGAGCGCAACCCUUGUUCACUGUUGCCAGCACGUUAUGGUGGGGACUCAGUGGAGACCGCCGGGGUCAACUCGGAGGAAGGUGGGGAUGACGUCAAGUCAUCAUGCCCCUUAUGUCCAGGGCUUCACGCAUGCUACAAUGGCUGGUACAGAGAGUGGCGAGCCUGUGAGGGUGAGCGAAUCUCGGAAAGCCGGUCUCAGUUCGGACUGGGGUCUGCAACUCGACCUCAUGAAGUCGGAGUCGCUAGUAAUCGCAGAUCAGCAACGCUGCGGUGAAUACGUUCCCGGG